Molecule: ribosomal RNA, 700 nt
Filed under: uncultured bacterium
Lineage: Bacteria
Description: bacterial SSU rRNA
Rfam family: Bacterial small subunit ribosomal RNA
Source: RNAcentral
AGCGGCAAAAUGGAUAGUAACACGUGGAUACACACCCUUGGGUCUGGGAUAGCGGCGGGAAACUGCCGGUAAUACCAGAUAAUGUCUUCGGACCAAAGAUUUAUUGCCCGAGGAGUGGUCCGCGUCCUAUUAGGUAGUUGGCGGGGUAAAGGCCCACCAAGCCGAAGAUGGGUAGCGGGUGUGAGAGCAUGGCCCGCAUCACUGGGACUGAGACACUGCCCAGACACCUACGGGUGGCUGCAGUCGCGAAUCUUCCACAAUGGACGAAAGUCUGAUGGAGCGACGCCGCGUGCGGGAUGAAGGCCUUCGGGUUGUAAACCGCUGUCGAGGGGAAUCAAAUUUUGAGUGAUCCCUGGAGGAAGCACCGGCUAAACUCGUGCCAGCAGCCGCGGUAAUACGAGUGGUGCAAACGUUGUUCGGAAUUACUGGGCUUAAAGGGUGCGUAGGCGGCCAUGUAGGUCUGAUGUGAAAUACCACGGCUCAACCGUGGAACUGCGUUGGAUACCGCAUGGCUGGAGUGAGACAGAGGUAAGCGGAACUGAUGGUGGAGCGGUGAAAUGCGUUGAUAUCAUCAGGAACACCGGUGGCGAAAGCGGCUUACUGGGUCUUUACUGACGCUGAUGCACGAAAGCUAGGGGAGCAAACGGGAUUAGAUACCCCGGUAGUCCUAGCUGUAAACGAUGAGUACUAGUCCGUGGGG